Molecule: small RNA, 29 nt
Filed under: Bombyx mori (domestic silkworm)
Lineage: Eukaryota; Metazoa; Arthropoda; Insecta; Lepidoptera; Bombycidae
Description: ovarian small RNA-30535
Source: RNAcentral
UGAAAUAAUCAAUCAUAAAACGCAGUGAC